This 240-nucleotide unclassified non-coding RNA is filed under the name soil metagenome. Its description in RNAcentral is "partial contains 5.8S ribosomal RNA, internal transcribed spacer 2, and large subunit ribosomal RNA". The record is from RNAcentral.
AAGACUAUAGACCUGCGGAGUACCUGCGGAAGGAUCAUUAUCGUAUUGUAACAAUUGGGGGGGCCACCGUGGGCUGUCGCUGACCCUUUGAAAGGGGGGUCGUGCACGCCCCCAUAGUGUCAUCCUCAUACAAUCCAACUCACCUCUGUGCAUCACCGCGUGGGUUCCUUUCUGGGUCGAGUCAGACUGGCUCAGAAAAAAGGGGCUUGCGUUUUCCAUACAAGUACCCUUAUAAAUCCA